RNAcentral lists this non-coding RNA (45 nucleotides) under Trichobilharzia regenti. The record is from RNAcentral. Lineage: Eukaryota; Metazoa; Platyhelminthes; Trematoda; Strigeidida; Schistosomatidae.
GUACUAAUGAAUAGUCCUAACUAGGACGAAACAGCUGUCUAGUAC